AGGACGAACGCUGGCGGCGUGCCUAACACAUGCAAGUCGAACGGAGCUGAGGAGCUUGCUCCUUAGCUUAGUGGCGGACGGGUGAGUAACGCGUGAGUAACCUGCCUCUGAGAGGGGAAUAACGUUCUGAAAAGAACGCUAAUACCGCAUAACGUAUUGAAGCCGCAUGACUUUGAUACCAAAGAUUUUAUCGCUCGGAGAUGGACUCGCGUCCGAUUAGCUUGUUGGUGAGGUAACGGCUCACCAAGGCGACGAUCGGUAGCCGGACUGAGAGGUUGAUCGGCCACAUUGGGACUGAGACACGGCCCAGACUCCUACGGGAGGCAGCAGUGGGGGAUAUUGCGCAAUGGGGGCAACCCUGAACCGCAGCAACGCCGCGUGAAGGAUGAAGGUUUUCGGAUUGUAAACUUCUUUUAUCAGGGACGAAAUUUGACGGUACCUGAUGAAUAAGCUCCGGCUAACUACGUGCCAGCAGCCGC
This 479-nucleotide ribosomal RNA is filed under the name uncultured bacterium. RNAcentral's name for it is "bacterial SSU rRNA". It matches the Rfam family "Bacterial small subunit ribosomal RNA", at positions 26 to 518 of the family's 1533-position model. The record is from RNAcentral.